This is a long non-coding RNA of Halichondria panicea, 1088 nucleotides long. RefSeq lists it as uncharacterized. Lineage: Eukaryota; Metazoa; Porifera; Demospongiae; Suberitida; Halichondriidae. The record is from RefSeq and is a predicted model, not a curated record. The transcript has 6 exons.
CCUCAGAAUAGCACUCGAGAGGUACAGCGACCAGGUGAUACACACAACAUAUUGCAGAGGGAAGAAGAUUAGAACAUUCUUGAGCGGCCACUAUGAAUUUUUGUGCCAUAUGUAUGGCCUGUCAGGAGCAUCAGGGUGCCUGGUUACUUCUGAUCAGCUCCGAGACCCACCCCAGAGUGUUCCUGCCAGAAGCACACAGAGCAUUUGUGAUGACUUUAAGAGUUUCACUGCAGCUGGAGUUUCACUGCAGCUGGAGCAGAUCUGAAGAAGGCAAAACAGCAUAAUAAUGUUGUUCGACAACCCUUCUUUCCUGGGAUACCACUCACCAAUGUAUGCCCACCUGGUCUGCACAUUUCCCUCGGGAUUUUCUACCGGCUCCUUGAGAAUGAAUGCCAUGAGAUGUGGCUAUAAUGGUGGCUAUAAUGGUGGCUAGUGAAGACUGCGCAGAGAAAGGUGGAGCGAGUUAUGGUCACUACGCACAAGCAUUGGAGAAGGUCGGUAAAUUAAAACAUAUCAGGUUGUCAGAUGAACUCACUAACCAGUCUCUUCACUCUUUCCGAGGAAGACAACCCUGAAGAGGAUCCACAAAUCGUGGAUUUGUUCAUUGAGGCAAAUGCUAUGAACAAAAAAGCAUACGUAAACACAAAAGAGUUCCACCUAGCUGAAGCUUUACGACGGGCCUUUUGUUAAGGAACUCGAUACAGCUCUGGCUUCCUUUAAUGUACGUCGGCAAGCUUACUACAGUGGAACAUUCGUUGGGAACCACGUUCAUCGAACACUGAAGGAGGAGAACACGAACACGAAAACCUUAUGCGAGUCGAUUCGUUACCUUGGCAUUCGUUUCUAGUUUCCCAGAAAGCAGCAGAAACAUCCAGGAAGUUUUCUGUUUUCAAUCUCUUUUCAAGAUGCCAUAGUAUGUACGACCAGCGCUACAUAACACCUGUUGAAGUAGAUACACUCGAGAACAACAUUGCUUCUUUCAUGAAGUAUUACCGGGAAACGUUCCCUACGGCAUCCAUCACUCCCAAACUUCACAUGCUAGAGAAGCACACAAUCCCAUGGCUGAGAGAGUGGGGUCCUGGUGUGGC